ACAGGAAAAUGACCUAUGAAUCGACAGACAGUAUAGUCAAGUGUGUCUGUCAUUUCUAUAGGCCAAUAUUCUGU
RNAcentral lists this microRNA precursor (74 nucleotides) under Pteropus alecto (black flying fox). RNAcentral's name for it is "mir-192/215 microRNA precursor family". It matches the Rfam family "mir-192/215 microRNA precursor family". From Rfam's summary of the family: This family represents the human microRNA (miRNA) precursors mir-192 and mir-215. Animal miRNAs are transcribed as ~70nt precursors and subsequently processed by the Dicer enzyme to give a ~22nt product. Lineage: Eukaryota; Metazoa; Chordata; Mammalia; Chiroptera; Pteropodidae. The record is from Rfam by way of RNAcentral.